This is a long non-coding RNA of Dromaius novaehollandiae (emu), 599 nucleotides long. RefSeq lists it as uncharacterized. The record is from RefSeq and is a predicted model, not a curated record. The transcript is spliced from 4 exons. Lineage: Eukaryota; Metazoa; Chordata; Aves; Casuariiformes; Dromaiidae.
GGGAUGUCUGCGAGGCCCUGGGCUCCUAAUGAGUGGUUUCACAUAUAAGGGCAAUGGGUUCAGUUUUUGCCUUAUUGUUGGAGUCUCUGGCAACUGCACUUCCCUGUUAACCCUUGCUACGUUUCCAAGGUUUGAAGAACAAAAGUCACUCAAAAAUCAGUGCAGGGGAAAUCCAGCCUUUUGUUUUGGACUAUCUCCACCUUUCUGUGGCCUCUUUUGAUUACAUUUAUAUUCUACAGCAACCUCAUGGAUGUUGAUCUUUAAAGUCCUUUUCAGAGAAAAAGUGAUAAAAAGAAACCUUCAGAGUUGGAGAAUUGGGCUGGAUGUGCUAAGAAGACCCAUCCGCUCCCAGGCAAAUCUUCAUGGCACAGCAGGAUUUGCUGGUAGUGUUUGGAUACAGAUCAGGAAUCAGCCCUCAAAGUUGGUAUGGAACUAACUGAGGAAAAGUGGAGUGAGAAGGCAGAGUGGGGUAUUGAAUCUUGGGAGAUGACAACUCCAGGAGCAAGAAUAUUAUCUUCUUAGCAUGGCUGCAUCUCCAGCAUAUUGAGAAAACCCAGCUGAGCACAUCUAAGCCAGAAGAAUAAAAGGUAUCAAUGAAA